UACGGGAGGCAGCAGUAGGGAAUCUUCCGCAAUGGACGAAAGUCUGACGGAGCAACGCCGCGUGAGCGAAGAAGSCCUUCGGGUCGUAAAGCUCUGUUGUUAGGGAAGAACAAGUAUCGGAGUAACUGCCGGUMCCUUGACGGUACCUAACCAGAAAGCCACGGCUAACUACGUGCCAGCAGCCGCGGUAA
Molecule: ribosomal RNA, 191 nt
Filed under: uncultured bacterium
Lineage: Bacteria
Description: partial 16S ribosomal RNA
Rfam family: Bacterial small subunit ribosomal RNA
Source: RNAcentral